CUACGGGAUGCUCCAGUUAGGAAUAAUCUACAAUGCGCGAAAGCGUGAUAGUUUGAGCCAGAGUGUUUUUCAAUUGAAAGACUUUUGUGAAAUGUAAAAAGUUUCACGAAUAAGGACUGGGUAAGACUAGUGCCAGCCGCCGCGGUAAUACUAGCGGUCCAAGUCGCAACCAUUUUUAUUGGGUCUAAAACAUCCGUAGCUUGCUUGACAAGUCUUCUGUGAAAUUUUACGUCUAAAACGUAGAGUGCGCAGAAGGUACUAUCAAGCUAGAGACCGGAAGACGUAAGAAGUACAUUCAGAGUAGCGGUUAAAUGUGUUAAUCCUGGAUGGACUAACAAGAGCGAAGGCAUCUUACGAGGACGGUUCUGACAGUAAGGGAUGAAAGCUAGGGGCGCAAAUGGGAUUAGAUACCCGGGUAGUC
RNAcentral lists this ribosomal RNA (421 nucleotides) under uncultured archaeon. RNAcentral's name for it is "partial 16S ribosomal RNA". It matches the Rfam family "Archaeal small subunit ribosomal RNA", at positions 323 to 746 of the family's 1478-position model. The record is from RNAcentral.